AUGUCCCGUUAUCGAGGACCUCGUUUAAAAAAAAUACGCCGUCUGGGAGCUUUACCAGGACUCACUAGAAAAACACCUAAAUCCGGAAGUAAUCUUAAAAAAAAAUUCAAUUCUGGGAAAAAGGAGCAAUAUCGUAUUCGUCUUCAAGAAAAACAGAAAUUGCGUUUUCAUUAUGGUCUGACAGAACGACAAUUACUUAGAUAUGUACAUAUCGCUGGAAAAGCAAAAAGGUCAACAGGCCAGGUUUUACUACAAUUACUUGAAAUGCGUUUGGAUAAUAUCCUUUUUCGAUUGGGUAUGGCUUCAACCAUUCCUGGGGCCCGCCAAUUAGUCAACCAUAGACAUAUUUUAGUUAAUGGUCGUAUAGUCAAUAUACCAAGUUUUCGUUGCAAACCCCGAGAUAUUAUUACUACGAAAGAUAACCAAAGAUCAAAAGGUCUGGUUCAAAAUUAUAUUGCUUCAUCGGACCCGGGGAAAUUGCCAAAGCAUUUGGCGAUUGACACGUUGGAAUAUAAAGGACUAGUAAAUAAAAUCCUAGAUAGGAAGUGGGUCGGUCUCAAAAUAAAUGAGUUGUUAGUUGUAGAAUAUUACUCUCGUCAGACUUGA
This 606-nucleotide ribosomal RNA is filed under the name Triticum aestivum (bread wheat). RNAcentral's name for it is "partial small subunit ribosomal RNA". Lineage: Eukaryota; Viridiplantae; Streptophyta; Magnoliopsida; Poales; Poaceae. The record is from RNAcentral.